RNAcentral lists this ribosomal RNA (287 nucleotides) under uncultured bacterium. RNAcentral describes it as "partial 16S ribosomal RNA". It matches the Rfam family "Bacterial small subunit ribosomal RNA", at positions 202 to 477 of the family's 1533-position model. The record is from RNAcentral.
AAAGGCGGAUUUAUCUGCCGCUCAUGGAUGGGCCUGCGGUGCAUUAGCUAGUUGGUGAGAUAGUAGCUCACCAAGGCGACGAUGCAUAGCCGACCUGAGAGGGUGAUCGGCCACACUGGGACUGAGACACGGCCCAGACUCCUACGGGAGGCAGCAGUAGGGAAUCUUCCGCAAUGGACGCAAGUCUGACGGAGCAACGCCGCGUGAGUGAUGAAGGGUUUCGGCUCGUAAAACUCUGUUGUUAAGGAAGAAUACUUGAGGUAGUAACUGGCCUUGAGAUGACGGUA